CAGUCGCCGCGGGAAUACGGAGGGCGCAAGCGUUGUCCGGAUUUAUUGGGUUUAAAGGGUGCGUAGGCGGCUAUUUAAGUCAGCGGUGAAAGACUCCGGCUCAACCGGAGCAGUGCCAUUGAUACUGGAUAGCUUGAGCGUUGGAGGGGUACAUGGAAUUGAUGGUGUAGCGGUGAAAUGCAUAGAUACCAUCAGGAACACCGAUAGCGAAGGCAUUGUACUGGCCAACAACUGACGCUGAGGCACGAAAGCAUGGGGAGCGAACAGGAUUAGAUACCCGAGUAGUCCCUGUCUCUUAUAC
This 301-nucleotide ribosomal RNA is filed under the name uncultured bacterium. RNAcentral describes it as "partial 16S ribosomal RNA". It matches the Rfam family "Bacterial small subunit ribosomal RNA", at positions 509 to 807 of the family's 1533-position model. The record is from RNAcentral.